UUACGGUCAAAUCACCUUGAAAACACCGGUUUUCGGAGGAUCACCGAAGUUAAGCAGUGUCGACUCCGGCCAGUAUUUAGAUGGGGAACCGCUUGGGAACAUCG
Non-coding RNA from Acanthosepion pharaonis, 104 nucleotides. Lineage: Eukaryota; Metazoa; Mollusca; Cephalopoda; Sepiida; Sepiidae. The record is from the annotation of a GenBank genome assembly.